AGAACCAAGAAGUUUGAAAAAAAUAGACAGUUCACAGAACAUGAGUUAUCAAGCUAGCCAGGCCAAGGGCCAAGCCCAGGUGAGCUUAAUUGGCUUUCUCUAUCUUCUUUAUUUUCCAAUUAUGUACUUCUCAACAUCCAUGGCACAUAUUAAUUGAUGCACAUAAUUAACUAGUUAGUUUAAUUAGUCAAAACUCUUUCACCUCGUUAGGAGAUUAAGAGCACAAAAAAAGAAAAAAAGAAGAUUGAUGUGUAGAUGUUUGUUAUAUUUGUUUCAGCAAAAGGGCAACCAGAUGAUGGAAAAGGCCAGCAAUGCUGCCCAAUCUGCCAAGGAAAGCCUGCAAGAGGAUAUCAACACUUGACAGUGUUAAUUAUGAUCAAGAUAAUAACAUUAAAAUUUCUGAAGCAUUUUCUCAAUGCAAAGUUUCUCUUUACUGAAAUGUGCAGCUGAAGUUUAAAAAGAAAAAAAAAAAAAUCUAUCUUCUUUUAAAAAAGCAAAGUUUGUGAAGAAAGGUGGAAUGUCUAAUGAUUCAUUGUGAUAGAUAGUUCUUGUUCAUCCAUUGGAGAUAUGAUUUCUAAUGCAUAAUAGUCAUAAGGUAUGAUUUCUAAUGCAUAAUACUCUGUUGGGUCAUUCGCUUUUUGCUCUAAUUCUAGCUUUCCAUUAAUGGCUUUUAUCAAUAUUUUUGGUUUCUAUUUCUCUUCUUCUACUUUGAGUUCACUCUGUUUCUUUGGCCCCCCAUGAAUUGUUGGUUUGGGAAGUUGUUAUGGCUUUUCUAUUUGGAUUCUUAUAAUAAAGGAUUUGUUUGUUUGUUUGCUUGUACUUUGUCAUGUAUUGUUACUUUCAAACUGCAUUUAGUAGUUUAAAUUCUGUGAGAUGGAAAAUCUAUGCCAGAAAAGUGAAAUAGAGUUGUAGUUGCAAGAGUGAUGAAGCAUUAAUUAUGUUGUCAUUGUAUUUCUUUGUAUGAAGAUAUGAUAUUAAUUAUGUUGCUUUCUUGUUUCUUUCUAUGAUAGUGGAUUGGAAUUGGGCCCUCACAAAAUGAUGGUGGGAACUGCUAUUAGUGGGGAUCGCAUGAUGGAUUACAUAAACCUAGAUGACAGAUCAAUUGGUAUGUUCUGGGUUGUGUCUUACACCAUGGCACAACCUGCUUGUGAAACAGUGAUGAAUUGGUUGACCUCUACUGGAGUUCAAGAGUUGUUACCUGGAUCAAACUUAUAGUCAACUAAGAGGCUAAUGGUGAUGCGGGAAGUUAGCCCAUUGCCAAUUUCAUUGUUAUCAGGCUUUUCAAUCAACUUGUGUCUAAAGCUAGCUUAUCAGAUGGAAGAAUCUAUGUUUUUGGGACAGGUGCUAGAUAUCUUCUAGUUUAUUAGCUUGCUUGUGGUUGACUUAGUAUCUGGUGAUAGGAACUUAUAUUAUAUUUAUUUCUAUAUAAAUCUGUAGAUUGUAUUUGUGGAUAAACAAAGUGUUUAUGUUUUGCAAAUUCACAUGCAUCCCAAACAAAACUGUUCCUAUGGCAAUGUUUAACUGAGUUAGGAAAUAGCUUCUCUAAAACACCAAAGGAAGGGCAGCCCAAACACCGAUGCCACUCGUGUAAUUGACGUAAUGUUGAACUAGUUUCUGAACAAAAUAGAGUCACUGAACGUAAGAAUCAUUAUCUUCUUGAGUUAGCUCGAUUUCUCUUGUUUACCCUGAAUAUCCCUAAAUCCUUUUGGAGUGAGACAUUUCUUACUUUUUCCUAUCUUAUUAAUCAUAUGCAUCCAGUACUGGUUAGGUAAAUGU
Molecule: non-coding RNA, 1776 nt
Organism: Camellia sinensis
Lineage: Eukaryota; Viridiplantae; Streptophyta; Magnoliopsida; Ericales; Theaceae
Source: RefSeq, a predicted model, not a curated record